GACGAACCGUGCGAACGUUGUUCGGAAUCACUGGGCUUAAAGGGCGCGUAGGCGGGCUGCCAAGUCUGGGGUGAAAUCCUCCGGCUCAACCGGAGAACGGCCUCGGAUACUGGCGGUCUCGAGGGAGGUAGGGGCGUGCGGAACUAAGGGUGGAGCGGUGAAAUGCGUUGAUAUCCUUAGGAACUCCGGUGGCGAAGGCGGCACGCUGGACCGGCAUUGACGCUGAGGCGCGAAAGCCAGGGGAGCAAACGGG
Molecule: ribosomal RNA, 253 nt
Filed under: uncultured bacterium
Lineage: Bacteria
Description: partial 16S ribosomal RNA
Rfam family: Bacterial small subunit ribosomal RNA
Source: RNAcentral